UGGGGAAUCUUGGACAAUGGGGGCAACCCUGAUCCAGCGACGCCGCGUGGGUGACGAAGGCCUUCGGGUUGUAAAGCCCUUUUGCCGGGGAAGACGAUGGCGGUACCCGGCGAAUAAGCACCGGCUAACUCCGUGCCAGCAGCCGCGGUAAGACGGAGGGUGCUAGCGUUGUUCGGAAUCACUGGGCGUAAAGGGCGCGCAGGCGGCCAGGUCAGUCGGGCGUGAAAGCCCGGGGCUCAACCCCGGAACGGCGCCCGAGACGGCUUGGCUCGAGACCGGGAGAGGAGGGUGGAAUAGCCAGUGUAGAGGUGAAAUUCGUAGAUAUUGGCUGGAACACCGGUGGCGAAAGCGGCUCUCUGGCCCGGUUCUGACGCUGAGGCGCGAAAGCGUGGGGAGCAAACAG
Molecule: ribosomal RNA, 403 nt
Filed under: uncultured bacterium
Lineage: Bacteria
Description: bacterial SSU rRNA
Rfam family: Bacterial small subunit ribosomal RNA
Source: RNAcentral